UUGAAAUUAAAAAUUUAUUCAAAAAUUAGUUUUGUAUUUAUUUUAAUUUAAUUAAAUUUUAGUUUUAAAAAUUAAUUUGAAAAAAUUAUUUUAAUUAUAGCAUAUUAGUAUAGUGAUAGAAAUUUUAUAUCUAUUUAAAAGAAAAAUUUAUUUUUUGUACCUUGUGUAUCAGGGUUGAUUAAUAUAUUUAAUUUAUUUUAAUUUCUCGAAUUUAAAAGAGCUAAUUAAUUAUAUUUUAAUUGUAUCAUAAAUUUUAUAAAUAAUUAGUUAGUAAUGAGAUGUUAUUCGUUUUUAAAUAUAUCUAGUUUUUUAAGAAAAAAAUUUAAUUUUUUUAAUAAUAUAAUAAUAUUUUAUUUAUUUAAUUUAUUAUUAUUAUUAAUUAAUUUUUAUUGGGAUAAGCUAAUAAAAUUAUUAUUAAUUAAUAAUGUAAAAUAUAAAAAUAUAGGAUUAGAAAUUUUCAUUAUUAAUAGUUUGUUAUAAUUAUUUUAUAAAAUUUAAAAUUUAUAUUAUUAAUAAGUUAUUUAUUAAAAAAUUAUUUUUAAUAUUAUAAAUUAAGAUAUAAUGAUUAAAUUAGUAUAAUUUUUUUUAUAGAUAAAAUGUAGUAGUUAGAUUAUUUAAAGGAAUUCGGCAAAAUAUUUUUCACCUGUUUAUUAAAAACAUGGCCUUUUGAUUAUAAUUUAAGGUCUUACCUGCCCACUGAAUUUUUAAAUGGCCGCGGUAUUUUGACCGUGCAAAGGUAGCAUAAUCAUUAGUUUUUUAAUUGAAAGCUGGAAUGAAGGGUUUAAUGAAAAAAUAACUGUCUUUGUUUAAAAAUUAAAAUUUUAUUUUUAAGUUAAAAAGCUUAAAUUUUUUUAAUAGACGAGAAGACCCUAUAGAGUUUAAUAAUUUGUUAUAAUAUAAUAAAAUUUUAGAUUAUUUUUUUUUAUUAUUGUGAUUAUUAUAUUGGGGUGAUAGAGUAAUUUAAAAAACUUAUUUUUAUUUAAUUCAUUAAUAUAUGUUUUAUUGAUCCAUAAAUUAUGAUUAUAAGAGUAAAUUACCUUAGGGAUAACAGCGUAAUUUUUUUAGAGAGUUCAAAUCGAAAAAAGAGAUUGCGACCUCGAUGUUGGAUUAAAAUUAAUUUUUGGUAGUAGAAGCUAGGAAUUUAGGUCUGUUCGACCUUUGAAAUUUUACAUGAUCUGAGUUUAAACCGGUGUGAGCCAGGUUGGUUUCUAUCUUUAAAUUAAUAAUAUAAUUUAGUACGAAAGGAUUAAUUAUUUAAUUAAAAA
Molecule: ribosomal RNA, 1265 nt
Filed under: Oulema gallaeciana
Lineage: Eukaryota; Metazoa; Arthropoda; Insecta; Coleoptera; Chrysomelidae
Description: 16S ribosomal RNA
Rfam family: Archaeal large subunit ribosomal RNA (bases 1044-1203)
Source: RNAcentral